RNAcentral lists this ribosomal RNA (561 nucleotides) under uncultured bacterium. Its description in RNAcentral is "bacterial SSU rRNA". It matches the Rfam family "Bacterial small subunit ribosomal RNA", at positions 357 to 918 of the family's 1533-position model. The record is from RNAcentral.
UUGGGUGGCGGUUCCUAAAGGGAGCACCCGCUAUGCCCCGGGAGUUUCGGGGCCUUCGGGUUGUAAAGCUCUUUUGCAGGGAAGAUAAUGACGGUGCUAAUACAAUAAGCCCCUGACAGUUCCUGGACAAUAACCACCGGCUUACUACGUGCCAUCACCUUCUUCAAUACUUAUGGUGCAAGCGUUAAUCUAAAUUACUGGGCAUAUAGCGUGUGCAAGCCCUCAUCUCAAACUGAUAUGUAAUCCCCAGACUCAACCUCUGAACUGCAUUUGAGACUGCUUGACUUCCGUGUGGAAAAGGGAAAUGGAUUUAUAUGUGGAGGAAUACCAUGGGUAAAUGCGGCUAAGAGCACCAUUAGUGAAGCUAAUCCCCUGAACCUGGACUGACACUCAUGAUCAAAUACCUGGGUAGCCCACACGAUUAAAUACCCUGGCAAUCCACGCCCUAAACUAUGUCUACUGGUUGUUGCUAAGGUUUCUUCUAUGUCGCCUGGGGAGUACGGCCGUUGACCUGAAACUCAAAGGAAUUGACGGAGUUGAAACUCAAAGGAAUUGACGGAG